Long non-coding RNA from Ictalurus punctatus (channel catfish), 566 nucleotides. RefSeq lists it as uncharacterized. Lineage: Eukaryota; Metazoa; Chordata; Actinopteri; Siluriformes; Ictaluridae. The record is from RefSeq and is a predicted model, not a curated record. The transcript is spliced from 3 exons.
UUAGCCUUGCUCAGGUCGUGCUCUCUGACCGGUGAGGCCCAGCCCCCUGCAAUGCAUCAUGUUCUGGCAGCUGGUUUGUCACUGGAAGAUCUCGAAUCGCACGCACCUGGCAUCUGUCCCCUGCUUUGUGAUUUGUUGAUCGAGGCCAUUUACGUUUAAUCCAUUUUGAGCUUUCUGAUGUCUGGCAUUCGCAACAAGAACAACAACAGUGAUAGAAAGACGCAUUAAGGCUGGCGAGGGAUGGAUAAUACUGUCCGUCCUCACCAUAUCAAUAUUCCUCUUGUAUAGUUCAACAAACAGACUUCAUAUAAAAACCAUAAUGAUUUUUCCUUUGCUUUCACACUAUCACAUGUUGUUACCCAGAUGAGGACGGGUUCCCUUCUGAGUCUGGUUCCUCUCAAGGCUUUUUCCUCAUAUUAUCUCUGAGAGUUUUUCCUCACCACCGUCCCCACUGGCUCACUCAAUUGGGAUUAAUCCAUACACUUAAAAUCUGUAUCCUGUGUUUAUACAUUUCUGUAAAGCUGCUUUGAGACAACGUCCAUUGUAAAAUACACUAUACAAAUAAA